UGCCAGCAGCCGCGGUAAUACGGAGGGUGCAAGCGUUGUUCGGAAUCACUGGGCGUAAAGGGCGCGUAGGCGGCUUGGGAAGUCCGAUGUGAAAGCCCGGGGCUCAACCCCGGAAGUGCAUUGGAAACUCCCCGGCUUGAGUUCGGGAGAGGAAGGCAGAAUUCCCGGUGUAGGGUUGAAAUCCGUAGAUAUCGGGAGGAAAACCGGUGGCGAAGGCGGCCUUCUGGAACGAAACUGACGCUGAGGCGCGAAAGCGUGGGGAGCAAACAGGAUUAGAGACCCUGGUAGUCCACGCUGUAAACGAUGGAUGCUGGGUGUGGGGUCCAAACCGGGGCUCCGUGCCGAAGCUAACGCAUUAAGCAUCCCGCCUGGGGAGUACGGUCGCAAGACUAAAACUCAAAGGAAUUGACGGGGGCCCGCACAAGC
RNAcentral lists this ribosomal RNA (426 nucleotides) under uncultured bacterium. Its description in RNAcentral is "bacterial SSU rRNA". It matches the Rfam family "Bacterial small subunit ribosomal RNA", at positions 506 to 930 of the family's 1533-position model. The record is from RNAcentral.